CCUACGGGAGGCAGCAGUGGGGAAUAUUGCACAAUGGAGGGAACUCUGAUGCAGCGACGCCGCGUGAGUGAAGAAGUAAUUCGUUAUGUAAAGCUCUAUCAGCAGGGAAGAAAGUGACGGUACCUGAAAAAGAAGCUCCGGCUAAAUACGUGCCAGCAGCCGCGGUAAUACGUAUGGAGCAAGCGUUAUCCGGAAUUAUUGGGUGUAAAGGGUGCGUAGACGGGAUAACAAGUUGGUUGUGAAACCCCUCGGCUCAACUGAGGAACUGCAACCAAAACUAUUAUUCUUGAGUGCAGGAGAGGAAA
RNAcentral lists this ribosomal RNA (305 nucleotides) under uncultured bacterium. RNAcentral describes it as "bacterial SSU rRNA". It matches the Rfam family "Bacterial small subunit ribosomal RNA", at positions 338 to 660 of the family's 1533-position model. The record is from RNAcentral.